This 244-nucleotide ribosomal RNA is filed under the name uncultured bacterium. Its description in RNAcentral is "partial small subunit ribosomal RNA". It matches the Rfam family "Bacterial small subunit ribosomal RNA", at positions 26 to 285 of the family's 1533-position model. The record is from RNAcentral.
AGAAUCAACGCUGGCGGCGUGCCUAACACAUGCAAGUCGAACGAGAAAGGGUAGCAAUACCUGAGUAAAGUGGCGCACGGGUGAGUAACACGUGACUAACCUACCCUGGAGUGGGGAAUAACUGAGGGAAACCUUAGCUAAUACCGCAUAAUACCUACGGGUCAAAGGAGCAAUUCGCUUCAGGAGGGGGUCGCGGCCGAUUAGCUAGUUGGCGGGGUAAUGGCCCACAAGGCAGUGAUCGGUA